GCCGCCAAUUAUGUUCAUCAGGUAAGAACGGAAUCACAUCUCUGAAUAUGAACGAAUGAAUCUUUGAUGCUUCAAUUCCUCCAUGAUGACCUACGGGGGAGAAGCAGGGGAAAGAGAUGUGACCGCAAUAUGAGAAAGAACGGGGUUGAACCGUUCUCGUGUUACGGUGUCAGCGGUUUUGCACUACGGGGAAGAAUGGGGUUGAGUCAUUCUGUAGUUGCAAUACGGACGGAGGUGACGAAGGGGGCAAGGGCAACAGGGGAUGGGAGGUAGGAGUGGACACGUCCACCAGCCGCUAUCCCUUUCUCCCGAAUUUGAGUUCAACCAGCCGCUGUACAUCCACUGAUCCCAUGUCCACAGGCGAUAGGAGAGCCCUUUCUCCCAACUAUGGCAGGCCUCAUUUUCAGUGGAGCAAAUCACAGACGCACAUCUGCGCUCUUGUGGCUUAUCUGAGCCAGAGUUGCAACGACAAUAGAAUGGAUGACUAUUGCCCGAGUAUGGCUAUGAUCAGUCAUCUCAGUAAAUCUGAAUAGUGUUUUGGCCUGAAAUGAUUGCUACAACAGGGGGUCUCAGCUAUUAUCGUCCGAGACCAUUUUUUUCCAUCAAACUGCAAUGCUGACUCGGGCUUAACCAGGAGAUUAGCAAUAGAAAGAAGGGGCGACAUUUUAGGUGGGAAUUUUGAUUAAAAGAAUAACGAGAAGAAAAUAGAUUUAACAGAUGGCCACAUCACCAUAUCAGUUCAGCCAAUGAAAAAAAUCAGGGGUGCGGUGAUGCUCUGUUUCUCCGCUAAUUACAGCCGUGGGUGAAGAGGACGAUAGAGAUGGAACCACCGGAGGUGUCUUUGAGUUUCUCGAGAAGAGAUAGAACCACACCAAAUAAGAGGAGCAGAACGGGGGAUGAAAUCAGAGUGAGAGAUGAGAGAGAAGAAGCACUGCUUAAACAAUGCCUACGUUAACAAUCCGGAAGUGGGAGAGAGAGAGAGAGAGAGAUUUGAAAAGGUAUUUUUGGAAAAAGUAUCGUGCGUGAUGUUAUAUGUGAGUAAGUGUUAGGACCGAAAAAUUAACGACAGCAGAGGGGAGGUUUUUACAUAAAGUUAAAACCAUAAGGAUAGUUUAUUAAAAAAAAAAAAAAAAUUGCCCUUUUCGUGUAAAGCGUAAACUGCGCCUAAAAGUGGAGGUGGAGGAGGGAUGGAAUCAAUGGAAUGGAAGAGUGACCAUUUCUUUGGACUUUGUACA
This is a non-coding RNA of Nelumbo nucifera (sacred lotus), 1235 nucleotides long. The record is from RefSeq and is a predicted model, not a curated record. Lineage: Eukaryota; Viridiplantae; Streptophyta; Magnoliopsida; Proteales; Nelumbonaceae.